ACGCUGGCGGCAUGCUUUACACAUGCAAGUCGGACGGCAGCACAGAGAAGCUUACUUCUUGGGUGGCGAGUGGCGAACGGGUGAGUAAUAUAUCGGAACGUACCGAGUAAUGGGGGAUAACUAAUCGAAAGAUUAGCUAAUACCGCAUAUUCUCUGAGGAGGAAAGCAGGGGACCUUCGGGCCUUGCGUUAUUCGAGCGGCCGAUAUCUGAUUAGCUAGUUGGUGGGGUAAAGGCCUACCAAGGCGACGAUCAGUAGCGGGUCUGAGAGGAUGAUCCGCCACACUGGGACUGAGACACGGCCCAGACUCCUACGGGAGGCAGCAGUGGGGAAUUUUGGACAAUGGGCGCAAGCCUGAUCCAGCCAUGCCGCGUGUCUGAAGAAGGCCUUCGGGUUGUAAAGGACUUUUGUCAGGGAAGAAAAGGCUGUUGCUAAUACCGACAGCUGAUGACGGUACCUGAAGAAUAAGCACCGGCUAACUACGUGCCAGCAGCCGCGGUAAUACGUAGGGUGCGAGCGUUAAUCGGAAUUACUGGGCGUAAAGCGAGCGCAGACGGUUACUUAAGCAGGAUGUGAAAUCCCCGGGCUCAACCUGGGAACUGCGUUCUGAACUGGGUGACUAGAGUGUGUCAGAGGGAGGUAGAAUUCCACGUGUAGCAGUGAAAUGCGUAGAGAUGUGGAGGAAUACCGAUGGCGAAGGCAGCCUCCUGGGAUAACACUGACGUUCAUGCUCGAAAGCGUGGGUAGCAAACAGGAUUAGAUACCCUGGUAGUCCACGCCCUAAACGAUGUCAAUUAGCUGUUGGGCAACUUGAUUGCUUAGUAGCGUAGCUAACGCGUGAAAUUGACCGCCUGGGGAGUACGGUCGCAAGAUUAAAACUCAAAGGAAUUGACGGGGACCCGCACAAGCGG
This 910-nucleotide ribosomal RNA is filed under the name uncultured bacterium. Its description in RNAcentral is "bacterial SSU rRNA". It matches the Rfam family "Bacterial small subunit ribosomal RNA", at positions 33 to 932 of the family's 1533-position model. The record is from RNAcentral.